GAUGAACGCUGGCGGCGUGCUUAACACAUGCAAGUCGAACGGUAAGGCCCUUCGGGGUACACGAGUGGCGAACGGGUGAGUAACACGUGGGUGAUCUGCCCUGCACUUCGGGAUAAGCCUGGGAAACUGGGUCUAAUACCGGAUAGGACUCCUGGCUUCAUGGUUGGGGGUGGAAAGCUUUUGCGGUGUGGGAUGGGCCCGCGGCCUAUCAGCUUGUUGGUGGGGUAAUGGCCUACCAAGGCGACGACGGGUAGCCGGCAUGAGAGGGUGACCGGUCACACUGGGACUGAGAUACGGCCCAGACUCCUACGGGAGGCAGCAGUGGGGAAUAUUGCACAAUGGGCGCAAGCCUGAUGCAGCGACGCCGCGUGAGGGAUGACGGCCUUCGGGUUGUAAACCUCUUUCAGCUAUGACGAAGCGCAAGUGACGGUAGUAGCAGAAGAAGGACCGGCCAACUACGUGCCAGCAGCCGCCGUAA
This 478-nucleotide ribosomal RNA is filed under the name uncultured bacterium. RNAcentral describes it as "partial 16S ribosomal RNA". It matches the Rfam family "Bacterial small subunit ribosomal RNA", at positions 28 to 523 of the family's 1533-position model. The record is from RNAcentral.